This is a long non-coding RNA of Ostrea edulis (European flat oyster), 2695 nucleotides long. RefSeq lists it as uncharacterized. Lineage: Eukaryota; Metazoa; Mollusca; Bivalvia; Ostreida; Ostreidae. The transcript is spliced from 2 exons. The record is from RefSeq and is a predicted model, not a curated record.
UCAUGCUUUAUCACAAUUUCGUGAAUUUUCUUGUCAUUAGGAAAGUCUUGAGAUAUUCACGCCCGAUCGGGUUAGAUUUUGGAUGCCAGAGAAAAUUAUAACUGUAACGGUUACAAAAGUUGCUGGCACAAUAAAUUCAGCAUUUACACAACAUCUGGCACAUAUGUACAUGUUGUUGGCUACUCUGUCGUCACAUGGAUCUGUCAUAAAGCAUGCAGGGCGUGGAUCCUAUUAUUUAAUAAUGACUACAAUUGUAUAUUGCACAGUGUUAUAGAUAUUUAAUCCCGUGGGGACCCGCAUUAGAAUAGGUCCUCAGUACCCCUUGCUUGUCGUAUAAGGCGACUAAAUGGGGCCAUCCUUCGGAUGAGACCGCAACAACCGAGGCCCCGUGUCACAGCAGAUGUGGCACGAUAAAGAUCCCUCCCUGCUCAAAGGCCAUAAACGCCAAGCAUAGGCCUUAUUAUGCAGCCCUUCACCGGCAGUGGUGACAUCUCCAAAUGAGUGAAAUAUUCUCUCGAGGGACGUUAAACAGCAUUCAAUCAAUAAAGAUUUAAGAUAUGGAGCUAUAUAUAAAGAGUUACCGAUAAAAACAAUGUUUUAUUAUUUAGUUCUUGAGUGAAAUAAAUAUGAAUCAUGCAUUAUGUGAUCAGUGAGGGUUCCUUGUAGGUAAAAAAGCCGAGGCACAGUGAUCACAAAAAAUCAGUUUAUUUCAGUCUUCACGAAAACAUUUAAAACUUGCUGGUCAGUCAGACCAGUGAACUGUCUGAAUUCACUGGUCCACAGUGAAAUUUACUGCCCCCCCCCCCCCAAUUUUCAUGUUUAUCACAUACAUUAUGGAAUGCAUUGUAAAACUACAAUUAAUUUACUGAAACUAUGCUUAUUACUCAUAUUCAUAUCCACCCUACGACAUCCUUUCUGUCAAUACCAGAAAAACAACGCCAUACAUGGUAUUUUCUCUCUCUUCGCCCGCAACAACAAGACUGCAAAUUCACAUAUUUUUCACAAACGAGUACACCUUAGGAAGUAGCCUUCUCUACCAACAUCAAAUGUAAAUGACUGAUUAAUUCUAUAAACUAUAGAAAUUGCAUAAAAUCAGAGAUAACUGCAAUUGACGAAGUUCAUUUUAAUUGGAGAAUGCAAUAUAGCAGCAGGUACCGCGAUACAGAACACAAUCUUUUUUGUUGUUUCAAUAAGUUGUUCAUUGAAUAUUCACGUCAUCAACGUACAAGUUAUCUGGACAAUUACAAGUAUAGUUAUCGUUCUUUACUUUAAAGAAAUAAACAAACCAAGAUGUCAAAACACUUACUUUAUGUGCUAUUUAUUGUUUUAUUUUGAUGGUAAUUUAAGUAAAUAAAAUAGUUAGAAUAUCUAAAUCCAACAUUAUAAUAUUUGAUGUGACUUACAAAAAGUUUCCAAGCCUAUCAGACUUCCUGAUUUUUUAUUUUCACUGACCCGACCCUAAAAUUCACUGGCCUCGGUCUUCGGAACACUGAGUUUUCAUGAAGACUGUUAUUUGUACAAGCACCAGCACAAAACAUCCUGUGACUGAGCAUCUCACAAGUCUGUAGUCUGGCCAAUGUUUCUUCACAUGGAUCUGAAAUACAGCGCACAAGGUGUAGAUCCUGUAAUUAAUCAACAUUACAAUAUUGAGUGUUGAACAGUGUUAUUUUAGAAGUAAAAGUAGAGCUAAAUAAGAACUUGUCAAUACAUGUAAAUACAAAUUGUUUGAUGUUCAAAUGUUGAGUACGAGUGAGUUAUUGAUUGAAAUUUAUAUCAAUGCCUUCCAUAAUUUUAAGAAGUGGGAAAUGAUGGAGACAAAUGCAGUGUGCUGAUUGUGCAGAAAACCAAAGUUUAUUAGAUAUAUAUAUCCCACACCUGAGAGGAUAAGGGCAUAAACUGUCAAUAAAUUAAAAGUUUCUACGUUUUUAAACAAGGAAACAGAAUAAAGAAAUAUUUCACACACCCACACCCCGUAUUAUGGAGAAUACAAUUUUUUCUUGCAGUUGAAAUCCAAAGGGACCUUCUAUUUAAAAAGUGGAUGAAAACAGUAUUAGAGGGUGGCCUCUUCAUCAAAGCUCAGUAUAUGGAAAGACCUCUAAUAUGGAUUCAACAUAUUUAAUUCUUUUAAACUUUGCAAGUGAAAAAUUAAUACUUUUCUGCCAAUGAAAGUGUAGACUUAGUCUGUUGUUUUCUUACUGCACAUAUACCAACUACCAGGGUUUGCAACAAGGAUAAAAGAAAUGCCUUCCCAGAGCUAUGAACUCACCUUGUUUUCAACAAUGAUUAUUGUGGCAGUGAUAUUGAUAUUUUUGGUGGGAGCAGUGACUUUGUUACUAAAGUGUUCAAAAUUUAUCAUCUCUAGGAUAUUUGCUUCAACUGGAAAAUCUUCUGAUCACCCAAACCAGGAUGUUUACCCUCGUGAUAGAAAAACAGACUAGUUAUUUUUAAUCACUGUAUUUUAACCACUUGUGUUCACCUUAGUUUAUAUACAUGUACAUACUGUAUAAUGGGUAAUUUCUGCGGUUGGAAAUUUUUGCAAUUUGAUCCAUAAAUGGUAGCAAAUUCAAUUAUAUGAUUAUAUUCUAAUUUUAAUAAGAUUGGAGUUCUUGUUAUGUGUUUGUUUCUGGUUCAAUUUAUUUCAUUUAUUACUUUUUAUUUAUUUAUUCAUUCAUGAAAUAAAGGGUGUGCAACAUUU